This 295-nucleotide long non-coding RNA is filed under the name Mytilus galloprovincialis (Mediterranean mussel). The record is from RNAcentral. Lineage: Eukaryota; Metazoa; Mollusca; Bivalvia; Mytilida; Mytilidae.
CUUGAAUAUUAUUAUAGAUAGAGAUAAACUGUAAACAGCAAUUAUGUUCAGCAAAGUAAGAUUUACAAAUAAGUCAACGUGACCGAAAUGGUCAGUUGACCCCUUUAGGAGUUAUUGCCCUUUAUAGUCAAUUUUAAACAAUUUUUCGUAAAUCUUAGUUACCUUUUACAAAAAUCUUCUCCUCUGAAACUACUGGGCCAAAUUAAUCCAAACUUGGCCACAAUCAUCUUUGGGGUAUCUAGUUUGAAAAAUGUGUCCGGUGACCCGGCCAUCAAAUCAAGAUGGCCGCCACAGC